Molecule: ribosomal RNA, 460 nt
Filed under: uncultured eukaryote
Lineage: Eukaryota
Description: bacterial SSU rRNA
Rfam family: Bacterial small subunit ribosomal RNA
Source: RNAcentral
CAAUACCGCGUGAGGGAUGAAGGCCUAUGGGUUGUAAACCUCUUUUCUCAAGGAGGAAGAUAUGACGUUACUUGAGGAAUAAGCAUCGGCUAACCCUGUGCCAGCAGCCGCGGUAAUACAGGGGAUGCAAGUGUUAUCCGGAAUCAUUGGGCGUAAAGCGUCUGCAGGUUGACUUUUAAGUCUUUUGUUAAAGCUCUGGGCUUAACCUAGAAUAUGCAAAGGAAACUAUCUGUCUUGAGUAUGGUACAGGUAAAGGGAAUUUCCAAGUGGAGCGGUGAAAUGCUUAGAUAUUGGAAAGAACACCAACAGCGAAGGCACUUUACUGGGCCAGUACUGACACUGAGAGACGAAAGCUAGGGGAGCAAACGGGAUUAGAUACCCCGGUAGUCCUAGCUGUAAACGAUGGAUACUAGAUGUUGUGCUUAAGAAAAAGUACAGUGUCGUAGCUAACGCGUUAAGU